CAAGAGUUCAACAAUGGAGUAUUAAACCUCCCAAUUCAUCACAAAUCUGAAUAUUCUCAACUUCAACUAGAAAAUAAUGAAUUUAGCCACUCAUGGUGACUAAAAUACAAAAAUAAAGAAGAAAAGAAAGAAGGAAAGUUUCUGCUGUGUUGCUGGAGAAUUUCCGAGUAUGGCAGAUGCUGAAAGAGAUCUUCUUGCUGGUUUGGAGGUUGCUCUUUUAUAGUUGGAGAAUCUCAUCCAUCUAGGGUUUUGAAAUCCCUUCUUGACUUGGUCUUUGAUUCCUCUUUG
This 288-nucleotide long non-coding RNA is filed under the name Manihot esculenta (cassava). RNAcentral's name for it is "long non-coding RNA (MESC_LNC002874)". Lineage: Eukaryota; Viridiplantae; Streptophyta; Magnoliopsida; Malpighiales; Euphorbiaceae. The record is from RNAcentral.